This 1213-nucleotide ribosomal RNA is filed under the name Staphylococcus aureus. Its description in RNAcentral is "bacterial SSU rRNA". It matches the Rfam family "Bacterial small subunit ribosomal RNA", at positions 1 to 1195 of the family's 1533-position model. Lineage: Bacteria; Bacillati; Bacillota; Bacilli; Caryophanales; Staphylococcaceae. The record is from RNAcentral.
UUUAUGGAGAGUUUGAUCCUGGCUCAGGAUGAACGCUGGCGGCGUGCCUAAUACAUGCAAGUCGAGCGAACGGACGAGAAGCUUGCUUCUCUGAUGUUAGCGGCGGACGGGUGAGUAACACGUGGAUAACCUACCUAUAAGACUGGGAUAACUUCGGGAAACCGGAGCUAAUACCGGAUAAUAUUUUGAACCGCAUGGUUCAAAAGUGAAAGACGGUCUUGCUGUCACUUAUAGAUGGAUCCGCGCUGCAUUAGCUAGUUGGUAAGGUAACGGCUUACCAAGGCAACGAUGCAUAGCCGACCUGAGAGGGUGAUCGGCCACACUGGAACUGAGACACGGUCCAGACUCCUACGGGAGGCAGCAGUAGGGAAUCUUCCGCAAUGGGCGAAAGCCUGACGGAGCAACGCCGCGUGAGUGAUGAAGGUCUUCGGAUCGUAAAACUCUGUUAUUAGGGAAGAACAUAUGUGUAAGUAACUGUGCACAUCUUGACGGUACCUAAUCAGAAAGCCACGGCUAACUACGUGCCAGCAGCCGCGGUAAUACGUAGGUGGCAAGCGUUAUCCGGAAUUAUUGGGCGUAAAGCGCGCGUAGGCGGUUUUUUAAGUCUGAUGUGAAAGCCCACGGCUCAACCGUGGAGGGUCAUUGGAAACUGGAAAACUUGAGUGCAGAAGAGGAAAGUGGAAUUCCAUGUGUAGCGGUGAAAUGCGCAGAGAUAUGGAGGAACACCAGUGGCGAAGGCGACUUUCUGGUCUGUAACUGACGCUGAUGUGCGAAAGCGUGGGGAUCAAACAGGAUUAGAUACCCUGGUAGUCCACGCCGUAAACGAUGAGUGCUAAGUGUUAGGGGGUUUCCGCCCCUUAGUGCUGCAGCUAACGCAUUAAGCACUCCGCCUGGGGAGUACGACCGCAAGGUUGAAACUCAAAGGAAUUGACGGGGACCCGCACAAGCGGUGGAGCAUGUGGUUUAAUUCGAAGCAACGCGAAGAACCUUACCAAAUCUUGACAUCCUUUGACAACUCUAGAGAUAGAGCCUUCCCCUUCGGGGGACAAAGUGACAGGUGGUGCAUGGUUGUCGUCAGCUCGUGUCGUGAGAUGUUGGGUUAAGUCCCGCAACGAGCGCAACCCUUAAGCUUAGUUGCCAUCAUUAAGUUGGGCACUCUAAGUUGACUGCCGGUGACAAACCGGAGGAAGGUGGGGAUGACGUCAAAUCAUCA